This 761-nucleotide ribosomal RNA is filed under the name Mecodema cf. fulgidum MB91. RNAcentral describes it as "partial 16S ribosomal RNA". The stretch from base 1 to 581 matches the Rfam family "Bacterial large subunit ribosomal RNA", at positions 1830 to 2925 of the family's 2925-position model. The record is from RNAcentral. Lineage: Eukaryota; Metazoa; Arthropoda; Insecta; Coleoptera; Carabidae.
GUCCUUUUGUUUUAUAUUUAAGGUUUAACCUGCCCACUGAAUAAUUUAAAUGGCCGCAGUAUUUUAACUGUGCAAAGGUAGCAUAAUCAUUAGUUUUUUAAUUAAAAGCUUGUAUGAAAGGUUGGACGAGGUAAAAACUGUCUUUAUUUAAUUAAUUAUAAAAUUUAAUUUUUAAGUUAAAAAGCUUAAAUUUUUUUAAAAGACGAGAAGACCCUAUAGAUCUUUAUAUUUAUUAUUUUAUUUUUAAUUAAGAUUUAUUUAAAUUUUAUUAUAUUAAAUAUUUUAUUGGGGUAAUAAGAAGAUUAAAAAAAUUCUUUUAUAUAUUAUUCAUUGAUUAAUGUUUUAAUGAUCCAAUUUUAUUGAUUGUAAGAUUAAGUUACCUUAGGGAUAACAGCGUAAUUUUUUUAGAGAGUUCAUAUCGAUAAUAAAGUUUGCGACCUCGAUGUUGGAUUAAAGAUUAAUUUAGGUGUAGAUGUUUAAAUUUUUGGUCUGUUCGACCAUUAAAUCUUUACAUGAUCUGAGUUCAGACCGGUGUAAGCCAGGUCGGUUUCUAUCUUUAAUAAAAUAAUAUAUUUUAGUACGAAAGGACCAAAUAUAUAAUAUAUAAAUAUUUAUUAAUUUUUGAAUAUUAUUAAUUGCUUUGGCAGAUUAGUGCAAUGAAUUUAGAAUUCAUAUAUGUAAAUUUUUACAAGUAAUACUUGUUUUAUAUAGAUAUAAUAUUUUCUUUUAUUUGUAUAUUAUUAUUAAUUAUUUGUGUAUUA